Molecule: long non-coding RNA, 491 nt
Organism: Rhipicephalus microplus (southern cattle tick)
Lineage: Eukaryota; Metazoa; Arthropoda; Arachnida; Ixodida; Ixodidae
Source: RefSeq, a predicted model, not a curated record
UUGAGAUGACUGGAGUUCAAGCAUGCGUGCUAGUUCCGAAAUGUUGUUCUAUUGUCUCCGAAAAACUAAGAGAUCCCGGAGGUCCGCAAAAGCUGAGGCACCUUGUCGCAGACAGUUUAAAGAUACCAAAAAAGGAAGCAGUGUAUUAUACUGCACAGACUAUAAGCACUGCGCUGUUCAAGAAAUGUUCUAUGGUAGCACACAGUGUCUGCUGUGGGUGCGCAACCAAGACUUAAAAGAAGUACACAGGAAUGCAUCCACCGUUACGAGGAAGCUUGCGGAAUCAAGGUACCGGGAAACGGAAAGAACCUGUGCAAAGAUACUGCUUCUAAAUGAAGUCAAUAAUGCACUCGAUGCAUAUUAACCUUGCGGUGGAUCGUUGUUACGCACUGAGAAGAUAUUUAUCUUUCUACAAAAAACGAACCAUGCAGUUUCUGAGUGAGCGUACACUUGGAAUUCUCUGAAUAAAAACCAGUAUCUUUUCUGCUACA